This 253-nucleotide ribosomal RNA is filed under the name uncultured bacterium. Its description in RNAcentral is "partial 16S ribosomal RNA". It matches the Rfam family "Bacterial small subunit ribosomal RNA", at positions 524 to 776 of the family's 1533-position model. The record is from RNAcentral.
UACGGAGGGUGCAAGCGUUAUCCGGAUUCACUGGGUUUAAAGGGUGCGUAGGUGGGUUGAUAAGUCAGUGGUGAAAUCCCCGAGCUUAACUUGGGAACUGCCAUUGAUACUAUUGAUCUUGAAUACCGUGGAGGUCAGCGGAAUAUGUCAUGUAGCGGUGAAAUGCUUAGAUAUGACAUAGAACACCAAUUGCGAAGGCAGCUGGCUACGCGAAUAUUGACACUGAUGCACGAAAGCGUGGGGAGCAAACAGG